GGACAGGAAGAUAAACAAAAGAAACAUGAUAGUAAAAAGGUUCAGAGUCAGCUUGUAAGCAAGUUUGCAAGACUGUUCCAAACUACAAGAAGAUGGCAAUCCAGCUUUGCUGUGUUUUAUCAUAGUAUAUCAUUGGCAUCCAGGCACCGAUUAAGGAAGCCAACUGUAGACCAGGAAAGGCUUCAAGGAAUAUACUACAGAAUUGUAUCCUGGAGCAUUUUCCACAUGUGACCCCUGUGAUGGUGAGGGAAAAACUAAGGGACAUUUAAAAAUCAUGAAGAGUGAACAGGAAUUCAAAAGAUAGAUAUUUGAAUACAUUAAAAUUUAACUGGAUACCAAAAAAUUAUAACUGAACAUUGAGUGUAAUAUUUACCAUUAAAGACUUCUAACUUAACUUUUCAUUUGUAGUGCAUUACUAUUUACUUCACACUGACAUUAAAUGUUUAAGUGAGUCAUGUGAUCAUUUUUUGCUCUGUAUUAUUACAAAGAAGUUUCUUAAUUCCUUAAAAGGACAAUAUCAUUGCUCUUUUCAGAAUAUUUCAUUGGAUGUUAUAUUUUCUGAUUUUCCAUGGAUAUUCUAGAAAUUUCCAAGGUUUUUGCUCAAAUAAACCUUGGAAAAUUCUCUGAUGCCCUUAAGUAAGAAUCCUCGAAAAUAUAACAGUAUUCCCAGUUGUGAGAAACUUUCCGAGGUUUUCAUUUAAAAACCUUGAAAAAACAAACCACGGAAACACUUUAAAAAUCCUUGGAAAUCGUUCCAAUACUCCGAGGUCACUCAUUUUCCAAGGUUUUCUAAACAAAAUCCUCGGAAAUUAUUUUACGAGGUUUUUAUUCUGAAAUCCUUGGAAAUCGUUCCAAUACUCCGAGGUCUUACUUUUUACGAGGUUUUUUUAAAAAAAAACUCGGAAAUUUUUUUUACAAGGUUUUUCACCCUCUCCCUAUUUUUCCAAGGUUUUUUUUAAUAGCAAAGUUUUGCAUUUUCUUGUUCCAAUACUCCGAGGUUUUUUUCCAAGGAUUUUGAGCCAAAAACCUUGGAAAAUCUACACCCGGGAUGACACCC
Molecule: long non-coding RNA, 1057 nt
Organism: Ruditapes philippinarum (Manila clam)
Lineage: Eukaryota; Metazoa; Mollusca; Bivalvia; Venerida; Veneridae
Exons: 3
Source: RefSeq, a predicted model, not a curated record